UCUGGUUGAUCCUGCCAGUAGUCAUAUGCUUGUCUCAAAGAUUAAGCCAUGCAUGUCUAAGUAUAAGCAAUUUAUACAGUGAAACUGCGAAUGGCUCAUUAAAUCAGUUAUCGUUUAUUUGAUAGUUCCUUUACUACAUGGUAUAACUGUGGUAAUUCUAGAGCUAAUACAUGCUUAAAAUCUCGACCCUUUGGAAGAGAUGUAUUUAUUAGAUAAAAAAUCAAUGUCUUCGGACUCUUUGAUGAUUCAUAAUAACUUUUCGAAUCGCAUGGCCUUGUGCUGGCGAUGGUUCAUUCAAAUUUCUGCCCUAUCAACUUUCGAUGGUAGGAUAGUGGCCUACCAUGGUUUCAACGGGUAACGGGGAAUAAGGGUUCGAUUCCGGAGAGGGAGCCUGAGAAACGGCUACCACAUCCAAGGAAGGCAGCAGGCGCGCAAAUUACCCAAUCCUAAUUCAGGGAGGUAGUGACAAUAAAUAACGAUACAGGGCCCAUUCGGGUCUUGUAAUUGGAAUGAGUACAAUGUAAAUACCUUAACGAGGAACAAUUGGAAGGGCAAGUCUGGUGCCAGCAGCCGCGGUAAUUCCAGCUCCAAUAGCGUAUAUUAAAGUUGUUGCAGUUAAAAAGCUCGUAGUUGAACUUUGGGGCCCCGGGGGCCGGUCCGAUUUUUUUCUGGAACUGGAUCCAGGGGCCUUUCCAUCUGUACUUGAUCUUGUGCUCUUGCGACAGACUUUUACUUUCCCACGGGGGCUUUUCUUCUGGGUUAAUCUUUGAGUCCCUUGUGGCUCUUGGGCAAACCAGAUUUUUAUUUUGAAAAAUUAAAAGUGUUCAAACCAGCGGAUUUGCUCCGAAUAUAUUAAAAUGGAAUAAAAAAAAGGACCGUUUGGGUCUUAUUUUGGUGGGUUCCAGGACCCUCCCUAUGGAUUAAUA
Molecule: ribosomal RNA, 926 nt
Filed under: Saccharomyces cerevisiae CLIB324
Lineage: Eukaryota; Fungi; Ascomycota; Saccharomycetes; Saccharomycetales; Saccharomycetaceae
Description: bacterial SSU rRNA
Rfam family: Eukaryotic small subunit ribosomal RNA
Source: RNAcentral